GACGAACGCUGGCGGUGUGCCUAAUACAUGCAAGUUGAGCGCUGAAGGUUGGUACUUGUACCAACUGGAUGAGCAGCGAACGGGUGAGUAACGCGUGGGGAAUCUGCCUUUGAGCGGGGGACAACAUUGGAAACGAAUGCUAAUACCGCAUAAAAACUUUAAACACAAGUUUUAAGUUUGAAAGAUGCAAUUGCAUCACUCAAAGAUGAUCCCGCGUUGUAUUAGCUAGUUGGUGAGGUAAAGGCUCACCAAGGCGAUGAUACAUAGCCGACCUGAGAGGGUGAUCGGCCACAUUGGGACUGAGACACGGCCCAAACUCCUACGGGAGGCAGCGGUAGGGAAUCUUCGGCAAUGGACGAAAGUCUGACCGAGCAACGCCGCGUGAGUGAAGAAGGUUUUCGGAUCGUAAAACUCUGUUGGUAGAGAAGAACGUUGGUGAGAGUGGAAAGCUCAUCAAGUGACGGUAACUACCCAGAAAGGGACGGCUAACUACGUG
This 496-nucleotide ribosomal RNA is filed under the name uncultured bacterium. RNAcentral describes it as "partial 16S ribosomal RNA". It matches the Rfam family "Bacterial small subunit ribosomal RNA", at positions 28 to 507 of the family's 1533-position model. The record is from RNAcentral.